This 418-nucleotide unclassified non-coding RNA is filed under the name soil metagenome. RNAcentral describes it as "partial contains 5.8S ribosomal RNA, internal transcribed spacer 2, and large subunit ribosomal RNA". The stretch from base 1 to 120 matches the Rfam family "5.8S ribosomal RNA", at positions 35 to 154 of the family's 154-position model. The record is from RNAcentral.
GUUGAAGAACGCAGCGAAAUGCGAUACGUAAUGUGAAUUGCAGAAUUCAGUGAAUCAUCGAAUCUUUGAACGCACAUUGCACUCUCUGGUAUUCCGGAGAGUAUGCUUGUUUGAGUAUCAGUAAACACCUCAGAUCUCUUGUUUCUUGUGAAUAAGAGAAUUGGACUUGAGCAAUCCCAACUCUUGCAAAAGAGGCGGGUUGCUUGAAAUGCAGGUGCAGCUGGACAUUCUUCUGAGCUAAAAGCAUAUUUAUUUAGUCCCGUAAAACGGAUUAUUACUUUUGCUGCAGCUAACAUAAAGGUUGAAUGGCCAAUAUGGCUGACUGAUGCAGGAUUAACAGAGAAUUUAUUCUUUGUAAACUCGAUCUCAAAUCAAGUAAGACUACCCGCUGAACUUAAGCAUAUCAAUAAGCGGAGGA